UAUGGUUCUUAGAUUAGAUAAGACUACCCGCUGAAUUUAAGCAUAUAACUAAGCGGAGGAAAAGAAACUAACAAGGAUUCCCCUAGUAACGGCGAGUGAAGCGGGAAGAGCUCACCAUGUGAAUCUCUAUAACCAGCAAUGGUAUAGCGAAUUGUGGUCUGGAGAAGUAUUGUCGGCCGUGAAUCCGGGCCAAGUCUCUUGGAAAAGGGCAGCUGAGACGGUGAAACUCCCGUUCUUGCCUGGAAUCAUUGCGCUCUGGCACAUGCUUUCUACGAGUCGAGUUGUUUGGGAUUACAGCUCAAAGUAUGUCGUAACUUCGAUAUAAAGCUAAAUAUUGGUGGGACACCGAUAGUGUACAAGUACCGUGAGGGAAAGAUGCAAAGAACUUUGAAAAGAGAGUUAAAGAGUACCUGAAAUUGUUAAAAGGGAGGCGAAGGAAACCAGUGUUUGGCGAAUCCAUUCUUCCCAAGCUACUUGUAGUUUGGGCGCUGUGGUUAGCAAUAGUCAGCAUUGGCUUAAUCUGGGUCAAACGUUUGGUGGGUAGGCGGCUCUUCGGAGUUAGUGCCCAUCUUUCAUGCUCUGGAUUGGGCUGAGGUCAGUCACUCUGUGCUCGUGAUGCUGGCAAAAUGGUUUUCUUUACCCCGUCUUGAAACACGGACCAAGGAGUCUAA
This 671-nucleotide ribosomal RNA is filed under the name uncultured Minidiscus. Its description in RNAcentral is "eukaryotic LSU rRNA". It matches the Rfam family "Eukaryotic large subunit ribosomal RNA", at positions 1 to 678 of the family's 3401-position model. The record is from RNAcentral. Lineage: Eukaryota; Bacillariophyta; Thalassiosirophyceae; Thalassiosirales; Thalassiosiraceae.